AUGCUUGAUGCUGUCUAUAAUU
This 22-nucleotide microRNA is filed under the name Drosophila virilis. RNAcentral's name for it is "dvi-miR-9706b-3p". The record is from miRBase by way of RNAcentral. Lineage: Eukaryota; Metazoa; Arthropoda; Insecta; Diptera; Drosophilidae.